RNAcentral lists this ribosomal RNA (253 nucleotides) under uncultured bacterium. RNAcentral's name for it is "partial 16S ribosomal RNA". It matches the Rfam family "Bacterial small subunit ribosomal RNA", at positions 524 to 776 of the family's 1533-position model. The record is from RNAcentral.
UACGGAGGAUCCAAGCGUUAUCCGGAAUCAUUGGGUUUAAAGGGUCCGUAGGCGGUUUAGUAAGUCAGUGGUGAAAGCCCAUCGCUCAACGGUGGAACGGCCAUUGAUACUGUUAGACUUGAAUUAUUAGGAAGUAACUAGAAUAUGUAGUGUAGCGGUGAAAUGCUUAGAGAUUACAUGGAAUACCAAUUGCGAAGGCAGGUUACUACUAAUGGAUUGACGCUGAUGGACGAAAGCGUGGGUAGCGAACAGG